This 492-nucleotide ribosomal RNA is filed under the name uncultured bacterium. RNAcentral's name for it is "partial 16S ribosomal RNA". It matches the Rfam family "Bacterial small subunit ribosomal RNA", at positions 29 to 507 of the family's 1533-position model. The record is from RNAcentral.
AGUGAACGCUGGCAGUAGGCCUAACACAUGCAAGUCGAACGGCAGCACAGUAAGAGCUUGCUCUUACGGGUGGCGAGUGGCGGACGGGUGAGGAAUACAUCGGAAUCUACUUUUUCGUGGGGGAUAACGUAGGGAAACUUACGCUAAUACCGCAUACGACCUACGGGUGAAAGCAGGGGAUCUUCGGACCUUGCGCGAUUGAUUGAGCCGAUGUCGGAUUAGCUAGUUGGCGGGGUAAAGGCCCACCAAGGCGACGAUCCGUAGCUGGUCUGAGAGGAUGAUCAGCCACACUGGAACUGAGACACGGUCCAGACUCCUACGGGAGGCAGCAGUGGGGAAUAUUGGACAAUGGGCGCAAGCCUGAUCCAGCCAUACCGCGUGGGUGAAGAAGGCCUUCGGGUUGUAAAGCCCUUUUGUUGGGAAAGAAAAGCAGCAGGUUAAUACCCCGCUGUUCUGACGGUACCCAAAGAAUAAGCACCGGCUAACUUCGUG